Saimiri boliviensis boliviensis (Bolivian squirrel monkey) is the source of this 4724-nucleotide non-coding RNA. Lineage: Eukaryota; Metazoa; Chordata; Mammalia; Primates; Cebidae. The record is from RefSeq and is a predicted model, not a curated record.
CCGGCGCCGGGGCUGGCAGCGCGAGCCGAAGCCGGACGCAGGCCGGGCGGAAGCGGGCCCGGGGGGCUGGGGCGGCGGGAGCGCGGGUGGGCGUUUAAAGGCGCCUUCGGCACCCGGUUCGGUUCGCCGCCGGGACUGCUGAUGCAUUCUGCCAUCUCCCUACCCCAUCGCGGUGCCCAGCCAUGGCCAGACCUCCCGUGCUCGGUUCGGUGGUUGUCCCAAACUGGCACGAGAGUGCCGAGGGCAAGGAGUACCUGACUUGCAUUCUGCGCAAGAACCGCCGGCGGGUGUUUGGGCUGCUUGAGCGGCCAGUGCUGCCACCACCUGUGUCCAUUGACACUGCCAGCUACAAAAUCUUCGUGUCCGGGAAGAGUGGUGUGGGCAAGACGGCGCUGGUGGCCAAGCUGGCUGGCCUGGAGGUGCCUGUGGUACACCACGAGACCCCCGGCAUCCAGAGCACCGUGGUAUUUUGGCCAGCCAAGCUGCAGGCCAGCGACCGUGUCGUCAUGUUUCGGUUUGAGUUCUGGGACUGUGGAGAGUCUGCACUCAAAAAGUUCGAUCACAUGCUGCCGGCUUGCAAGGAGAACACGGAUGCUUUCCUCUUCCUUUUCUCCUUCACUGACCGUGCCUCCUUUGAAGACCUCCCUGGACAGCUGGCCCGCAUAGCAGGUGAGGCCCCUGGUGUCAUCAGGAUGGUCAUCGGCUCCAAAUUUGACCAGUAUAUGCACACAGACGUGCCCGAGCGGGACCUCAUAGCCUUCCGGCAGGCCUGGGAGCUGCCCCUGCUACGGGUGAAGAGUGUGCCAGGGCGGCGGCUGGCUGAUGGGCGCACGUUGGACGGGCGGGCUGGGCUGGCUGACAUUGCUCACAUACUCAAUGGCCUCGCUGAGCAGCUGUGGCACCAAGACCAGGUGGCGGCUGGCCUGCUUCCCAGCCCCCCAGAGAGUACUCCUGGAUGAAUCACGAGUGGGUGCCUGUGAUCCCGCCCCCAACCCUCAGAAUUCAUGGCAUGGAGAUGGGGACCGAGAUCCUGAGCUCGGACAUCUUUUCAUGGCCUCUCCCCCUUUUGGCAGCACCCAUGGCAGGUGACAGGGAGAUGGGGUGCCUCUCAAGUGACUUCAAUCAAGAACCUGUAUUGGUAGAGGUGACACCAUCUGUUGUAACAGAUAAACACCGAACUUCCAGUGCUGAACUCCAUAGACCUGUUAGUUCUUGCAUUGGCUUCAGGAGGAGGUGACAGUGGGUGUGGGGCCCUGCUCCAGGUGCUUCUGCAGAGACCCAGCCCCAGAGAUCCUGCCCAGUUGCCCCAGGGCAUCAGCACCCAGUCAGCAGCCAGGGAGACCAUGAUGGCGCCGCGGACAGGAACCCGGACGACGCCUGUAUCUGUGCUCCGCGCCCUGCGGCAGCAUUUAUAUCCUGGACUCCAGGGGCAACGUUUUCUGAGACAGGAAAACCUACGUUGGUGAGACUUGGGCCACACAGGACUUUUGUCCCACCUCACCCAGAAGGCCGGAGUGGCCAGGCCACAGGCUCUUCUUUAAGCCCCCUCUCCCCUCCCCAAGAAUCCCGCAGCAUCCCUUGUCUUUUUCUUGCAAUGGGCAGUUCGUUUUUCGAACUAACCCUAAUACCUUUUGCUACAACUCAAUUUUCCUUUAAUGUUGGCCUUAGUGGGACUGAUAGACUCACACCCCCCUUGCCGCCCAGUUGAAAGUGGGCCAGACCCGGGCCAGACCGUUCCCUAACUGUCCCCCCGCGCCCGCAAUGGGGCGGACUUCGCGCUCGCCUGGAGAAGCUGCGACCCCUGUGGCGGCGGCAGAGACGGGGACUCCGGCAACGAAGCUGGCGCGAGAAGCUUCAGCAGGACCUGGAGGAGGUGAGUGCGGCGCCGGCGGGCUGCGGCUCCCGACACCGAGAGCAGACGCCCCAGGCCAGCUCUGAGACCCGCCCCGGCGCCUUCGGCAGCUCAUCUGUGAAAUGGGUUUGUCCAUAGUGUCAGCCCCGUGCAGGGGCUGUGACGGUUACAGGGACGAAGUGUGUAGAGCGCUCAGCCCAGGGCCUGGCACAUUAGAGGUGCCCAAGAAAGGGGCGAGAUCAGUCACUAUACGACGCGGCCCACCCGGCGUCUGUCUCUUCGUUUGAAAAACGAGGGUGUUCGGUUUCCUUGUUUGAAAUGUAAACGAGGAAACGCAUGUCACAGCUCUUUUGAAGGCGGAAAGGACCCACGCGAAAAAUGGGAUCUGUCACCUCCCGGCCGAGAUCGGGAGCGGAGGGGCUUGGGGGUCCCUCACUCUCCUCUCCCGGGAGAGCAGCGCCGCGUAACGCCGCAGCCCGUCGGGAGCUGAGCGCGCCUGGGAGCCGCAGCGCUUCGCCGAGGAACCGAACCUGCGCGCGCCGCCGCAGGUGGAGGGGCGGGGCGGGGUCCGCCCGGGGCGGAGUCACCCCAGGAGCCGUAAUCCUGACCUUGACCCGAGGCCCGGCCAACCCCGGCUCGGAAGGCUGGGCGGAGCCAGGGCGGCGCCGGCCCCUGAGCAACCCUCGGCCGCAGAACGUGCCCAGCCGGCCGCAGGACUCCUGCAGGUGCGACCUCCGGAGCUCGGAGCCCGACAGGUGAGACGGGACGGCGCCUCGGGUGGGCGGGGUCUGCCCGCGGAGAGGCUAGCAGUCCGCAGAAGCCUUAGCCCAACCAAGGCUGAUUUACCCCUCCUUCCAGCACCUCAGAGGCAACUCCCGCUUCACUCGCUUUAGAUCUCUGGGCCUGUCCUUUCCGCAAACUGGGGCCCCGGCCCUGCCUCCCAGUCCUGAUUCCCACCUGUUCAAUCCGCUCUGAUGCUCACCUGACGAAUACACCCAGCCCAGGCUGCGCUCUGCGGGCAGAAGGGUUCUCUGGCAGUAGCAGCUGGCAUGUCUCACCUGCCUGUCUUCAACGGAGAGGCUCUGGAUUCUCGUAGCAUUAGGUUUCAGAUUGGGUGGAAGAGUGGGCUUCUGACCCCUGCUCCUCUCAUAGAUUCCUGGGCAGGGAUUCCUGUGACUGCUACUUCUCCAACAUGUGCAGGCACCGAUUGGUGAGAUGGCUGCUUGGGGCGAGUCCAGCUGGGACCUUAAGCGGGCAGAGGUGACACCAGGACUCCUCUGGCAAGUGGCAGAGAUCCUGGCCCCACGCCUCUCCAGGAAGAAGAAACACAGAAAUGGGCAUUGCCCGCCUGCUGGCAGAGGGAGUCUACACCGCAGCCUUCCCAUUGCACGAGGGAGAGAUGUCCCAAGCUCAGAUCUCUCCCAGGCCUAAGGGCAUGGCAGCGGUGGCUGGGGCAUCCGGAGAGCACCCUCAAACCCCCCUGCAGCUCUCCCUCUUUUUGUCCCCCUAGGGCCCCUUUGAACUGCCUGGGUACCAGGGACCCGGUUCAGAUCUCAACUCUUGCCAAUUGCUGUGCCCAUACUGGGCUUACUGGGGAUACUGGUAUAACUACCGGCCCCUGGACCACAUAUGAGAGUACUUUGGGGAGAAGGUGGUCAUCGAUUUUGCCUGGCUAGGUUUCUACAUGGCUUGGCUGCUGCCUGUCAGCCUGGUAGGCACCUUGGUCUUUAUCUCUGGACUUGUCACCAUGGGGACCAACACACUAGUGUGGGUGGCUGCGGAAGGGUUGGGGAAUGGGCUGGGUGGGCCAGGUCAUCUGCCUGGUUGAGGAAAGGCCCUCUCAGGAUGGGCACCCUCUGCUCACAGAGAGGAGGUCUGUGUCAGUGGGGGUGCCACUCUGUGAUACCUGUGCCACAUGGAAUAUUUCCGGGAUCUGCUCCAUGGCCAAGGUGGGCCAGCGAAAGGGGCAAAAAAACCAGGUAGGUGUUUUGGGCCCAACCUGGGCCUGGAUGCUGGCCCUACAAUGUGCCCUCUCACCCCUUCUCGCAGCCGAGCUGCCUCUUUGACCACCCUGGAACUGUGUUCUUCGGCAUCUUCCUGGCCUUCCUGGAGCGCUGGAAGUGGGCAGUGCCACCUUGGCCCACCACCAGCACUGCAGUGACUUCCAGGACCAGGAAGUGAUACCCAGCUCAGCCCUCCAGGCCCACAACCCCACUUCCCAGAGUUCUCAGAGGCCAUAAGGUGUGCUGGGAAGAGCUCAGGCUUUGGAGUCCAGCAUCCCAGGAUCCAAAUCUGGCUUCUCCUCACACUUUUCCUGGGUCAUCUUCCACCCUUCUCUGACAUCAGGAUGAUAUAGGCUGGGUGACGUGAAACAUUAGGAGUAUUUAGAUGAUCAGCUGGGCCUUGGAGAGAGACCCUCCCUAGAACCGAGAAGGAGAAAACAUUCCACCUGCCCCCCCUACCCAUCCAGCUACCUACCUGUCUAUCCAAACAUCUAAUCAUUGAUUCUGAAUCUGUUCACUUCUCACUACUUCCUCUGCCACACCCCAGCCCUCCCCACUCCAGUCCAAGUCACAUUUCCUCUUUCCUGGACAGCAGUGACCUCCUAGCAGGUCUCCUUGCCCCACUUAAUUGGUUCUCAGCUGCCAGGAGGGUGACAUCCUGUGUUACCUUCCUCAAAGCCUUCCAGGACAAUCUCAUUUGAGAUGUACCUGGGAAACCAUCCAACCCCCUCACAGUGGCCUACAAGGCCUUGUGUCAUCUGGCCUGUGGCUGGUUCUCCCCCACUGGCUCGACCAGAUCCUCGAAUAGGUCAAGUUCAUUUCCACCCUGGGGCCUUGGCAUUGGCUAUGCUCCCUGCCAGAAUCCUCUU